RNAcentral lists this ribosomal RNA (472 nucleotides) under uncultured bacterium. RNAcentral's name for it is "bacterial SSU rRNA". It matches the Rfam family "Bacterial small subunit ribosomal RNA", at positions 335 to 803 of the family's 1533-position model. The record is from RNAcentral.
ACUCCUACGGGAGGCAGCAGUGGGGAAUUUUGGACAAUGGGCGAAAGCCUGAUCCAGCCAUGCCGCGUGCAGGAUGAAGGCCUUCGGGUUGUAAACUGCUUUUGUACGGAACGAAAGACUCUGGUUAAUACCUGGGGUCCAUGACGGUACCGUAAGAAUAAGCACCGGCUAACUACGUGCCAGCAGCCGCGGUAAUACGUAGGGUGCAAGCGUUAAUCGGAAUUACUGGGCGUAAAGCGUGCGCAGGCGGUUAUAUAAGACAGAUGUGAAAUCCCCCGGGCUCAACCUGGGAACUGCAUUUGUGACUGUAUAGCUAGAGUACGGCAGAGGGGAUGGAAUUCCGCGUGUAGCAGUGAAAUGCGUAGAUAUGCGGAGGAACACCGAUGGCGAAGGCAAUCCCCUGGGCCUGUACUGACGCUCAUGCACGAAAGCGUGGGAGCAAACAGGAUUAGAUACCCCUGGUAGCGACUGA